GAUGAAGAACGUAGCGAAAUGCGAUAAGUAAUGUGAAUUGCAGAAUUCAGUGAAUCAUCGAAUCUUUGAACGCACCUUGCGCCCUUUGGCUAUUCCGAAGGGCAUGCCUGUUUGAGUAUCAUGAACACCUCAACUCUUCACGGCUUGCCGUGAUGAGUUUGGACUUUGGGGGUCUUGCUGGCCUACGAGCCAGCUCCUCUCAAAUGUAUUAGCUUGCCGGUGUUUGGUGGCAUCACAGGUGUGAUAACUAUCUACGCUUGUGGUUUUCCACUAGGUAACCUUCAGCGAUGGAGGUUCACCGGAGCUCACAAAUGUCUCUCCUUGCCAAGGACAGAUUUUGACCAUUUGAUCUCAAAUCAGGUAGGACUACCCGCUGAACUUAAGCAUAUCAAUAAGCGGAGGA
RNAcentral lists this unclassified non-coding RNA (403 nucleotides) under soil metagenome. RNAcentral describes it as "partial contains 5.8S ribosomal RNA, internal transcribed spacer 2, and large subunit ribosomal RNA". The stretch from base 1 to 121 matches the Rfam family "5.8S ribosomal RNA", at positions 35 to 154 of the family's 154-position model. The record is from RNAcentral.